RNAcentral lists this ribosomal RNA (1078 nucleotides) under uncultured bacterium. Its description in RNAcentral is "bacterial SSU rRNA". It matches the Rfam family "Bacterial small subunit ribosomal RNA", at positions 184 to 1269 of the family's 1533-position model. The record is from RNAcentral.
AAUGGCAUCGUUUUAAAGUUAAAGAUUUAUCGGUAGAAGAUGACUAUGCGUCCUAUUAGCUAGAUGGUAAGGUAACGGCUUACCAUGGCAACGAUAGGUAGGGGUCCUGAGAGGGAGAUCCCCCACACUGGUACUGAGACACGGACCAGACUCCUACGGGAGGCAGCAGUGAGGAAUAUUGGGCAAUGGAGGCAACUCUGACCCAGCCAUGCCGCGUGCAGGAAGACUGCCCUAUGGGUUGUAAACUGCUUUUAUACAGGAAGAAACGUACCUACGAGUAGGUAUUUGACGGUACUGUAAGAAUAAGGACCGGCUAACUCCGUGCCAGCAGCCGCGGUAAUACGGAGGGUCCGAGCGUUAUCCGGAAUCAUUGGGUUUAAAGGGUCCGCAGGCGGUCGAUUAAGUCAGAGGUGAAAUCCCAUAGCUUAACUAUGGAACUGCCUUUGAUACUGGUUGACUUGAGUGAUACGGAAGUAGAUAGAAUAUGUAGUGUAGCGGUGAAAUGCAUAGAUAUUACAUAGAAUACCGAUUGCGAAGGCAGUCUACUACGUAUUUACUGACGCUCAUGGACGAAAGCGUGGGGAGCGAACAGGAUUAGAUACCCUGGUAAUCCACGCCGUAAACGAUGGACACUAGUUGUUGGGAAUUAUCUCAGUGACUAAGCGAAAGUGAUAAGUGUCCCACCUGGGGAGUACGAUCGCAAGAUUGAAACUCAAAGGAAUUGACGGGGGCCCGCACAAGCGGUGGAGCAUGUGGUUUAAUUCGAUGAUACGCGAGGAACCUUACCAGGGCUUAAAUGUGGAAUGACAGGGCUAGAGAUAGCUUUUUCUUCGGACAUUUCACAAGGUGCUGCAUGGUUGUCGUCAGCUCGUGCCGUGAGGUGUCAGGUUAAGUCCUAUAACGAGCGCAACCCCUAUUGUUAGUUGCUAGCAGGUAAAGCUGAGGACUCUAGCGAGACUGCCGGUGCAAACCGCGAGGAAGGUGGGGAUGACGUCAAAUCAUCACGGCCCUUACGUCCUGGGCUACACACGUGCUACAAUGGUAUGGACAAUGAGCAGCCAUCUGGCAACAGAGAGCG